UACGUAGGGUGCAGGCGUUAAUCGGAAUUACUGGGCGUAAAGCGUGCGCAGGCGGUCUAUUAAGACAGGUGUGAAAUCCCCGGGCUUAACCUGGGAACUGCGCUUGUAACUGAUAGGCUUGAGUGUGGCAGAGGGGGGUGGAAUUCCAGGUGUAGCAGUGAAAUGCGUAGAUAUCGGGAGGAACAUCAGUGGCGAAGGCGGCCCUCUGGUCCAGUACUGACACUCAAGUGCGAAAGCGUGGGGAGCAAACAGG
This 253-nucleotide ribosomal RNA is filed under the name uncultured bacterium. RNAcentral describes it as "partial 16S ribosomal RNA". It matches the Rfam family "Bacterial small subunit ribosomal RNA", at positions 524 to 776 of the family's 1533-position model. The record is from RNAcentral.